AAAAGGGGGAAAAGAAUAGAAACAACCCUUGAGGAAGAAAUUCAAGAGAAAUUCAUCGGUUACCGAAAAACAAAGCGAUCUGAGGUAUAGGUGGUGAGCCCUCUGAUAAGGGUAAGGAUAUCGUACACGAGGACCAGGAGUAGGAGUGCUUCCGUUAUUGCUCAGGGUAGUUUGUAGACCGCUGAUUUUGUCGAGGGUUUACUUUUGGAUUCGCACCCUUAGAAAUCGUGGGUUUACAAUCGUGCUUAUAUUGGUUAUUUUGGGCCUCACAUGUCAUUGUAGAAUAUUUUUGUAUACCUUAGCGCAAUGUGCUAUUAUAUAUACGAAUUUAGUUUGUUAUUACUUUUCAUUAAUUGUUUACGUAGAAUUUUAUAAA
Theobroma cacao (cacao) is the source of this 376-nucleotide non-coding RNA. Lineage: Eukaryota; Viridiplantae; Streptophyta; Magnoliopsida; Malvales; Malvaceae. The record is from RefSeq and is a predicted model, not a curated record.